RNAcentral lists this ribosomal RNA (497 nucleotides) under uncultured bacterium. Its description in RNAcentral is "partial 16S ribosomal RNA". It matches the Rfam family "Bacterial small subunit ribosomal RNA", at positions 28 to 507 of the family's 1533-position model. The record is from RNAcentral.
GAUGAACGCUGGCGGCGUGCCUAAUACAUGCAAGUCGAGCGAACAGACGAGGAGCUUGCUCCUCUGACGUUAGCGGCGGACGGGUGAGUAACACGUGGAUAACCUACCUAUAAGACUGGGAUAACUUCGGGAAACCGGAGCUAAUACCGGAUAAUAUAUUGAACCGCAUGGUUCAAUAGUGAAAGACGGUUUUGCUGUCACUUAUAGAUGGAUCCGCGCCGCAUUAGCUAGUUGGUAAGGUAACGGCCUACCAAGGCGACGAUGCGUAGCCGACCUGAGAGGGUGAUCGGCCACACUGGAACUGAGACACGGUCCAGACGCCUACGGGAGGCAGCAGUAUGGAAUCUUCCGCAAUGGGCGAAAGCCUGACGGAGCAACGCCGCGUGAGUGAUGAAGGUCUUCGGAUCGUAAAACUCUGUUAUUAGGGAAGAACAAAUGUGUAAGUAACUAUGCACGUCUUGACGGUACCUAAUCAGAAAGCCACGGCUAACUACGUG